This is a long non-coding RNA of Thalassophryne amazonica, 380 nucleotides long. RefSeq lists it as uncharacterized. The record is from RefSeq and is a predicted model, not a curated record. NCBI's taxonomy places the organism in Eukaryota, Metazoa, Chordata, Actinopteri, Batrachoidiformes, Batrachoididae. The transcript is spliced from 4 exons.
UGUUUCUGAACGUCAUGGAGAACAUGUUGAUGUUUGUUAAAAUGAGCUGAAGAGCAUCCAGAAGGUUCUCCUGACAGAUGAUGGAGAAUACUUGGAGAGUCAGAGUGAGGAUGAGGAGCAGAGGAGCAGCAGACUGGUUUUCCUGAACCUCACAUUGACCUUGAUGAGGUCAAUGAAUUAUGAUGAGCUGGCUGACUGUCUGCAGAGCAGAACUCGUGCUGAAGUUUGUCCUCGUAAAUACAAAUCUAACAUGAAGCAGAAGUUUGAACGUGUGUUUGAGGGGAUCUCUAAAGCAGGAAAGACGACUCUUCUGAAGGAGAUCUACACAGAGCUCUACAUCACAGAGGGCGGGGCUUCAGAGGUCAACAAGGAACAUGAGG